GACGAACGCUGGCGGCGUGCUUAACACAUGCAAGUCGAACGGUGAAGCGCCUUCCUUUUUGGUGGGUGUGGAUGAGUGGCGAACGGGUGAGUAACACGUGAGUAACCUGCCCCCUUCUUCUGGAUAACCGCAUGAAAGUGUGGCUAAUACGGGAUAUUCUGGGUCUGUCGCAUGAUGGGUCUGGGAAAGAUAUUGUUUCGGUGGGGGAUGGGCUCGCGGCCUAUCAGCUUGUUGGUGGGGUGAUGGCCUACCAAGGCGGUGACGGGUAGCCGGCCUGAGAGGGUGGACGGUCACACUGGGACUGAGACACGGCCCAGACUCCUACGGGAGGCAGCAGUGGGGAAUAUUGCACAAUGGGCGCAAGCCUGAUACAGCGACGCCGCGUGAGGGAUGGAGGCCUUCGGGUUGUGAACCUCUUUCGCCAGUGAAGCAGGCCUGCCUCGUUUGUGGGUGGGUUGACGGUAGCUGGAUAAGAAGCGCCGGCUAACUACGUG
Molecule: ribosomal RNA, 494 nt
Filed under: uncultured bacterium
Lineage: Bacteria
Description: partial 16S ribosomal RNA
Rfam family: Bacterial small subunit ribosomal RNA
Source: RNAcentral